Molecule: ribosomal RNA, 726 nt
Filed under: uncultured bacterium
Lineage: Bacteria
Description: bacterial SSU rRNA
Rfam family: Bacterial small subunit ribosomal RNA
Source: RNAcentral
GGGGAUAACACUUGGAAACAGGUGCUAAUACCGUAUAACACUAUUUUCCGCAUGGAAGAAAGUUGAAAGGCGCUUUUGCGUCACUGAUGGAUGGACCCGCGGUGCAUUAGCUAGUUGGUGAGGUAACGGCUCACCAAGGCCACGAUGCAUAGCCGACCUGAGAGGGUGAUCGGCCACACUGGGACUGAGACACGGCCCAGACUCCUACGGGAGGCAGCAGUAGGGAAUCUUCGGCAAUGGACGAAAGUCUGACCGAGCAACGCCGCGUGAGUGUAGAAGGUUUUCGGAUCGUAAAACUCAGUUGUUAGAGAAGAACAAGGAUGAGAGUAAAACGUUCAUCCCUUGACGGUAUCUAACCAGAAAGCCACGGCUAACUACGUGCCAGCAGCCGCGGUAAUACGUAGGUGGCAAGCGUUGUCCGGAUUUAUUGGGCGUAAAGCGAGCGCAGGCGGUUUCUUAAGUCUGAUGUGAAAGCCCCCGGCUCAACCGGGGAGGGUCAUUGGAAACUGGGAGACUUGAGUGCAGAAGAGGAGAGUGGAAUUCCAUGUGUAGCGGUGAAAUGCGUAGAUAUAUGGAGGAACACCAGUGGCGAAGGCGGCUCUCUGGUCUGUAACUGACGCUGAGGCUCGAAAGCGUGGGGAGCGAACAGGAUUAGAUACCCUGGUAGUCCACGCCGUAAACGAUGAGUGCUAAGUGUUGGAGGGUUUCCGCCCUUCAGUGCUGCAG